RNAcentral lists this ribosomal RNA (1386 nucleotides) under Escherichia coli. Its description in RNAcentral is "partial 23S ribosomal RNA". It matches the Rfam family "Bacterial large subunit ribosomal RNA", at positions 1522 to 2883 of the family's 2925-position model. The record is from RNAcentral. Lineage: Bacteria; Pseudomonadati; Pseudomonadota; Gammaproteobacteria; Enterobacterales; Enterobacteriaceae.
AGGCUGGUUUUCCAGGCAAAUCCGGAAAAUCAAGGCUGAGGCGUGAUGACGAGGCACUGCGGUGCUGAAGCAACAAAUGCCCUGCUUCCAGGAAAAGCCUCUAAGCAUCAGGUAACAUCAAAUCGUACCCCAAACCGACACAGGUGGUCAGGUAGAGAAUACCAAGGCGCUUGAGAGAACUCGGGUGAAGGAACUAGGCAAAAUGGUGCCGUAACUUCGGGAGAAGGCACGCUGAUAUGUAGGUGAAGUCCCUCGCGGAUGGAGCUGAAAUCAGUCGAAGAUACCAGCUGGCUGCAACUGUUUAUUAAAAACACAGCACUGUGCAAACACGAAAGUGGACGUAUACGGUGUGACGCCUGCCCGGUGCCGGAAGGUUAAUUGAUGGGGUUAGCGCAAGCGAAGCUCUUGAUCGAAGCCCCGGUAAACGGCGGCCGUAACUAUAACGGUCCUAAGGUAGCGAAAUUCCUUGUCGGGUAAGUUCCGACCUGCACGAAUGGCGUAAUGAUGGCCAGGCUGUCUCCACCCGAGACUCAGUGAAAUUGAACUCGCUGUGAAGAUGCAGUGUACCCGCGGCAAGACGGAAAGACCCCGUGAACCUUUACUAUAGCUUGACACUGAACAUUGAGCCUUGAUGUGUAGGAUAGGUGGGAGGCUUUGAAGUGUGGACGCCAGUCUGCAUGGAGCCGACCUUGAAAUACCACCCUUUAAUGUUUGAUGUUCUAACGUUGACCCGUAAUCCGGGUUGCGGACAGUGUCUGGUGGGUAGUUUGACUGGGGCGGUCUCCUCCUAAAGAGUAACGGAGGAGCACGAAGGUUGGCUAAUCCUGGUCGGACAUCAGGAGGUUAGUGCAAUGGCAUAAGCCAGCUUGACUGCGAGCGUGACGGCGCGAGCAGGUGCGAAAGCAGGUCAUAGUGAUCCGGUGGUUCUGAAUGGAAGGGCCAUCGCUCAACGGAUAAAAGGUACUCCGGGGAUAACAGGCUGAUACCGCCCAAGAGUUCAUAUCGACGGCGGUGUUUGGCACCUCGAUGUCGGCUCAUCACAUCCUGGGGCUGAAGUAGGUCCCAAGGGUAUGGCUGUUCGCCAUUUAAAGUGGUACGCGAGCUGGGUUUAGAACGUCGUGAGACAGUUCGGUCCCUAUCUGCCGUGGGCGCUGGAGAACUGAGGGGGGCUGCUCCUAGUACGAGAGGACCGGAGUGGACGCAUCACUGGUGUUCGGGUUGUCAUGCCAAUGGCACUGCCCGGUAGCUAAAUGCGGAAGAGAUAAGUGCUGAAAGCAUCUAAGCACGAAACUUGCCCCGAGAUGAGUUCUCCCUGACUCCUUGAGAGUCCUGAAGGAACGUUGAAGACGACGACGUUGAUAGGCCGGGUGUGUAAGCGCAGCGAUG